AACGAACGCUGGCGGCAGGCCUAACACAUGCAAGUCGAACGAGAAGCCACCUUCGGGUGGUGGACAGUGGCAGACGGGUGAGUAACGCGUGGGAACGUGCCUUUCGGUUCGGGAUAACACAGGGAAACUUGGGCUAAUACCGGAUACGCCCUUCGGGGGAAAGAUUCAUCGCCGAAAGAUCGGCCCGCGUUGGAUUAGCUAGUUGGUAGGGUAAUGGCCUACCAAGGCGACGAUCCGUAGCUGGUCUGAGAGGAUGACCAGCCACACUGGGACUGAGACAUGGCCCAGACUCCUACAGGAGGCAGCAGUGGGGAAUAUUGGACAAUGGGCGAAAGUCUGAUCCAGCCAUGCCGCGUGGGUGAAGAAGGCCUUAGGGUUGUAAACCCCUUUCAGAGGGGAAGAUAAUGACGGUACCCGCAGAAGAAGUCCCGGCUAACUCCGUGCCAGCAGCCGCAGUAA
Molecule: ribosomal RNA, 459 nt
Filed under: uncultured bacterium
Lineage: Bacteria
Description: partial 16S ribosomal RNA
Rfam family: Bacterial small subunit ribosomal RNA
Source: RNAcentral